UAAUGUAUGGGGAUCUGCCCGAUAGAGGGGGAAUAACACUGGAAACGGUGGCUAAUACCGCAUAAUGUCUACGGACCAAAGCAGGGGCUCUUCGGACCUUGCACUAUCGGAUGAACCCAUAUGGGAUUAGCUAGUAGGUGGGGUAAAGGCUCACCUAGGCGACGAUCUCUAGCUGGUCUGAGAGGAUGAUCAGCCACACUGGGACUGAGACACGGCCCAG
This 220-nucleotide ribosomal RNA is filed under the name uncultured bacterium. RNAcentral's name for it is "partial 16S ribosomal RNA". It matches the Rfam family "Bacterial small subunit ribosomal RNA", at positions 111 to 334 of the family's 1533-position model. The record is from RNAcentral.